UACGUAGGUGGCAAGCGUUGUCCGGAAUUAUUGGGCGUAAAGCGCGCGCAGGCGGUCCUUUAAGUCUGAUGUGAAAGCCCACGGCUCAACCGUGGAGGGUCAUUGGAAACUGGGGGACUUGAGUACAGAAGAGAAGAGUGGAAUUCCACGUGUAGCGGUGAAAUGCGUAGAGAUGUGGAGGAACACCAGUGGCGAAGGCGACUCUUUGGUCUGUAACUGACGCUGAGGAGCGAAAGCGUGGGUAGCAAACAGG
This 253-nucleotide ribosomal RNA is filed under the name uncultured bacterium. RNAcentral's name for it is "partial 16S ribosomal RNA". It matches the Rfam family "Bacterial small subunit ribosomal RNA", at positions 524 to 776 of the family's 1533-position model. The record is from RNAcentral.